AUGGCUCCUGGGCUCUGCUUUGCUCAGCUGGCAGAGUCCAGUGGUAAAUUCGUCUGCCUUUCCUUCCUCCCUUCCUCCCUCCCUCCUCCUUCCCUUCCUUCCUUCCUCCCUUCCUCCCUCCCUCCUCCCUUCCUUCCUUCCUUCCUUCCUUCCUCCUCCCUCCUUCCCUCCUCCCUUCCUUCCUUCCUUCCUUCUUCCCUUCCUCCCUCCCUCCUCCUUCCUUCCUUCCUCCUUCCUUCCUUCCUUCCUUCCUUCCUCCUUCCUCCCUUCUUCCUUCCUUCCUCCCUUCCUUCCUUCUUCCUUCCUUUCUCCCUUCAUCCCUCCCUUCCUCCUUCCCUCCCUCCCUUCCUCCCUCCCUCCUCCCUUCCUUCCUCCCUUCCUUCCUUCCUUCCUUCCUUCUCCCUCCCUUCCUUCCUUUCUCCCUUCAUCCCUCCCUUCCUUCCUUUCUCCCUUCAUCCCUCCCUUCCUUCCUCCUCCCUCCUCCCUCCCUCCUCCCUCCUCCCUCCCUCCCUUCCUUCCUUCCUUCCUCCCUUCUUCCCUUCCUCCCUCCCUCCCUCCCUUCCUCCCUUCCUUCCUUUCUUCCUUCCUUCCUUCCUCCCUUCCUUCCUUCCUUCCUUCCUUCCUUCCUUCCUUCCUUCCUUCCCUUCCUCCCUUCCUUCCUCCCUCCUCCCUCCUCCCUUCCUCACUUCCUUCCUCCCUUCCUUCCUUCCUUCCUCCCUUCCUUCUUCCCUCCCUUCCUUCCUUCUUCCUUCAUCCCUCUCUCCUCCCUUCCUUCCUUCCUUCUUCCCUUCCUCCCUCUCUCCUCCCUUCCUUCCUUCAUCCCUGCCAUCUCAUCCCUCCCUUCAUCCCUCCCUUCCUCCCUUCCUCCCUUCCUCCCUCCUCCCUCCCUCCUCCCUUCCUUCCUCCCUCCCUUCCUUCUUUCCUUCCUUUCUUCUUCCCUUCCUCCCUUCCUUCCUCCCUCCCUUCCUUCUUUCCUUCCUUUCUUCUUCCCUUCCUCCCUUCCUUCCUCCCUCCCUUCCUUCCUUUCUCCCUUCAUCCCUCCCUUCCUCCCUCCCUCCUCCCUCCCUUCCCCUUCCUUCCUUCCUUCCUUCCUUCCUUCCUUCCUUCCUUCCCCGCAUGUGCUGUAGUGAUUACAACAAGAGGAGCUUGAGAUCGACAGGCAUUGGUCAACUUAAAGGCAGGUGCUUGCAGAAGGGCGGGUGUGCAACUAGUGGGGCUGGGUCCAAGCCAGGCAUCUCCCCUCCUAGAGGGGUUCUGGCCACAGCAGAGGCCAGCUCAGGACUCUAG
This 1287-nucleotide long non-coding RNA is filed under the name Felis catus (domestic cat). RNAcentral's name for it is "lncRNA (ENSFCAG00000047726.1)". Lineage: Eukaryota; Metazoa; Chordata; Mammalia; Carnivora; Felidae. The record is from RNAcentral.